AAGGAAAUUACCAUGAGACUUUUCCGUGACUGAAAUUCAGUUAGGACACAUAUCCGAGCAGGUUCAACAAUGGUGCAUAUAAAUGGAUUUAUGUUAUCGUGCUGAAGUCUGCACAUCUACAUCACAUUCAUAGUGUCACAAGUUUCACAAUCGAGUGCUGGCCACGGUGAAGUCCAUUUGAUAGAUUUGUUCCAGACUUUCAUUCGCCAGUCGUCAACUACCUUAUUUGGGUGCACAGGAUAAUUCAUAACACGCAUCUAGAAACAAAAGUAAUUAUAGAGUUUGUUUUGUUUCCUCAUUGUGAAUCGAAUCAUUAUUGUGCAACAGUUUUGAUUGCAAUUACAUACUCUGGAAUCGUCUAUUAAGACUGAGUAAUACUGAUCUAAAAAUAAAGGGACAGUUUGACUACGUCUAGGCUACAUUUCAACUCCGAUUUCUCACCUGUUUCACUUCUAGAAGGUGAGAACUAAGUUCCGCGUCAGUCGAUAUGGCUACUUUGAUUGUGAGGAUGUCCAUUUUUGCCGCUAGUUUUCUAGCUUGAUGUGUGAAUAGGUAUACCAUUGCAGCCAAAGUGAGCAGAUGGGCCACAAUUAUGGUCAUAUUAACGUUGUUGUUGAGUAAUUCAACGUCAUAAAUCACUUGAUCUUCGAAAUUGCUUUCAGAACCGGCAAAACGGGCGUGAAGUGUGUGAUUCAACUCAGCAUUCCACGAAAAUGGCCAAAGGGAACCAUCACAUUUGUGUGGCCGUCUGCGGAUGAAUUGGGUUUUGGUGGAAAUAAAUCUGAAGAGCCCACAGCGAUGUAGCUGUCUUCGGUAUCUCCAUUUGCAUUAAAGGAAAUAAAUCCUCCUCGAACACCUGCAA
RNAcentral lists this long non-coding RNA (862 nucleotides) under Daphnia magna. RNAcentral's name for it is "uncharacterized LOC116919531, transcript variant X2". Lineage: Eukaryota; Metazoa; Arthropoda; Branchiopoda; Diplostraca; Daphniidae. The record is from RNAcentral.